AGAAAACUACUUGUGCCGAUACUGUAUCUAUAGUUUGCCUAUAAAAAUUCACCAGAGAAAUAUCUUGUUCAUCAUUAUUUAGUGAGCAUGAAUGACAGGCAGGAUGUGGAAGGGGUAAUGGUGCAGGUGGAUUGUUAAAUAUUCAAGCAAAUGAGUCAAGAGGACUUUCCUUGCUCUUAGGGGCUUUGAUAUCUUUGUUUUAUCAUGUCAGUUUUAUCUCUGACUUUUGUUUACAUUUUCUUUUUUUUUUUUUGCCUAUUUCAUACUUUUAUAGAAACUUCU
Molecule: long non-coding RNA, 282 nt
Filed under: Bos taurus (domestic cattle)
Lineage: Eukaryota; Metazoa; Chordata; Mammalia; Artiodactyla; Bovidae
Description: long non-coding RNA NONBTAT017868
Source: RNAcentral